AUUAUGUUUCUGCUUUAUGUGCGCAUCCUCUACCUAUUAAGUGUUAAUUAAAUUAAAGGGUUUCUUUUUAAAAUCUUCUAUAACUAAUAAAAAAAUAUGGAAGAUUUUGUUACUUUGAGUAAAUUAGAGUGUUCAAAGCAAACAGAUAUAUAGCAUUUGUGCGUUUGAAUACUACAGCAUGGAAUAACAAAAUUGAACAGGUCAAAACUAUGUUUCUUUUUUUUUAUUUUUGGCUUAGUUACGAUUAAUAGGAGUAGUUUGGGGACAUUUGUAUUCAGAUGUCAGAGGUGAAAUUCUAAGAUUUUCUGGAGACAAACAACUGCGAAGGCAUUUGUCUAAAAUACUUCCAUUAAUCAAGAACGAAAGUUAAGGGAGUGAAGACGAUCAGAUACCGUCGUAAUCUUAACCAUAAACUAUACCGACUAGGUUUUGGAUGAAAGUAAAACAAAUAAGGAUAGUCUCUUCGGGGAUAGUUCUUAGAUUUCUUCCUUCAGUACCUUAUGAGAAAUCAAAGUCUUUGGGUUCUGGGGCGAGUAUUCGCGCAAGCGAGAAAGUUAAAAGAAUUGACGGAAGGGCACCACCAGGCGUGGAGCUUGCGGCUUAAUUUGACUCAACACGGGAAAACUCACUAGUUUAAGACAAGAGUAGGAUUGACAGAUUAAUAGCUCUUUCUUGAUUUCUUGGAUGGUGAUGCAUGGCCGUUUUUAGUUCGUGAAUAUGAUUUGUCUGGUUAAUUCCGAUAACGAACGAGAUCUUAACCUGCUAAUUAGCAGUAAGUACAACAUAUUUCUAUGCUGAAUUUGUAUUUGGAUAAUUUAAAAGGUUUUUUUGCCGUGCAUAUAAUGAGUACGGAAAAAAUGCAUACUGCUACCUUGUACCUAAUAAUACUUGGCGCCUAUGCAUAUUUCCAACCCUCUAUUCCCUGUACCGCAUAAAACUGGAUUAUGAUGCCAUUUCACUUUUAUGUAGAAAUGUAUUUGCUUUUACAUAAAGCUUCUUAGAGGAACGAUUUGUGUCUAACCCCAAGGAAGUUUAAGGCAACCAACCGGGAA
Molecule: ribosomal RNA, 1052 nt
Filed under: Plasmodium knowlesi
Lineage: Eukaryota; Apicomplexa; Aconoidasida; Haemosporida; Plasmodiidae
Description: SSU rRNA
Rfam family: Eukaryotic small subunit ribosomal RNA
Source: RNAcentral